This 630-nucleotide ribosomal RNA is filed under the name Nanosynbacter sp. RNAcentral describes it as "bacterial SSU rRNA". It matches the Rfam family "Bacterial small subunit ribosomal RNA", at positions 85 to 712 of the family's 1533-position model. The record is from RNAcentral. Lineage: Bacteria; Bacillati; Minisyncoccota; Nanosynbacteria; Nanosynbacterales; Nanosynbacteraceae.
GAUCGAAGGAGUGGCGAACGGGUGAGUAAUACAUAAGCAACCUACCCACGAAGACUGGGAUAAUCUCUGGAAACGGGGACUAAUACCGGAUAGGUAAUCGGAAGGCAUCUUCUGAUUAUUAAAGGUUAAAAACACUGGUGGAUGGGCUUAUGGCGCAUUAGCUAGUUGGAGGGGUAACGGCCCACCAAGGCGAUGAUCAGUAGCCGGUCUGAGAGGAUGAACGGCCACAUUGGGACUGAGACACGGCCCAGACUCCUACGGGAGGCAGCAGUGGGGAAUUUUCGGCAAUGGGGGAAACCCUGACCGAGCAACGCCGCGUGAGUGAUGACGGCCUUCGGGUUGUAAAGCUCUGUUGUAAGGGAAGAACGGUAGAUAGAGAAUAUCUAAGUGACGGUACCUUACCAGAAAGCCACGGCUAACUACGUGCCAGCAGCCGCGGUAAUACGUAGGUGGCGAGCGUUGUCCGGAAUCAUUGGGCGUAAAGGGAGCGCAGGCGGGCAUGUAAGUCUUUCUUAAAAGUGCGGGGCUCAACCCCGUGAUGGGAAAGAAACUAUGUGUCUUGAGUACAGGAGAGGAAAGCGGAAUUCCCAGUGUAGCGGUGAAAUGCGUAGAUAUUGGGAGGAACACCAG